GUUGUAAAGCUCCUUUCACCGGAGAAGAAAUGACGGUAUCCGGAGAAGAAGCCCCGGCUAACUUCGUGCCAGCAGCCGCGGUAAUACGAAAGGGGCUAGCGUUGUUCGGAUUUACUGGGCGUAAAGCGCACGUAGGCGGAUCGAUCAGUCAGGGGUGAAAUCCCAGAGCUCAACUCUGGAACUGCCUUUGAUACUGUCCAUCUGGAGUAUGGAAGAGGUGAGUGGAAUUCCAAGUGUGGAGGUGAAAUUCGUAGAUCUUCGGAGGAACACCACUGGCGAAGGCGGCUCAGUGGUCCGUUACUGACGCUAAGGUGCGAAAGCGUGGGGAGCAAACAGGAUUAGAUACCCUGGUAGGCCACGCCGUACACGAUGAAUGUUAGCCGUCGGGCGGUAUACUGUUCGGUGGCCCAGCUCACGCAUUAAACAUUCCGCCUGGGGAGUAGGGUCGCAAGAUUAAAACGCUAAGGAAUUGACGGGGGCCCGCACAAGCGGUGGAGCAUGUGGUUUUGUUCAUAGCUACGCGGAGAACCUUACCAGCCCUUGACAUGUCCAGCUGUCCGGAGAGAUUUGGAAUUCCCUUCGGCGACCGGA
RNAcentral lists this ribosomal RNA (591 nucleotides) under Rhizobiales bacterium Ri3Pt_4489. RNAcentral describes it as "bacterial SSU rRNA". It matches the Rfam family "Bacterial small subunit ribosomal RNA", at positions 422 to 1031 of the family's 1533-position model. Lineage: Bacteria; Pseudomonadati; Pseudomonadota; Alphaproteobacteria; Hyphomicrobiales. The record is from RNAcentral.